This 234-nucleotide ribosomal RNA is filed under the name uncultured bacterium. Its description in RNAcentral is "partial 16S ribosomal RNA". It matches the Rfam family "Bacterial small subunit ribosomal RNA", at positions 15 to 236 of the family's 1533-position model. The record is from RNAcentral.
GAUCCUGGCUCAGGAUGAACGCUAGCUACAGGCUUAACACAUGCAAGUCGAGGGGAAACGACAUCGAAAGCUUGCUUUUGAUGGGCGUCGACCGGCGCACGGGUGAGUAACGCGUAUCCAACCUGCCCACCACUUGGGGAGUAACCUUGCGAAAGUAAGACUAAUACCCAAUGAUAUCUCUAGAAGGCAUCUGAAAGAGAUUAAAGAUUUAUCGGUGAUGGAUGGGGAGUGCGU